CCUACGGGCGGCAGCAGUGGGGAAUAUUGCACAAUGGGGGAAACCCUGAUGCAGCGACGCCGCGUGUGUGAAGAAGUAAUUCGUUAUGUAAAGUUCUAUCAGCAGGGAAGAAAAUGACGGUACUUGUGUAAGAAGCCCCUGCUAACUACGUGCCAGCAGCCGCGGUAAUACGUAGGGGGCAAGCGUUAUCCGGAUUUACUGGGGGAAAAGGGAGUGUAGACGGCAGUGCAAGUCUGGAGUGAAAGGCGGGGGCUCAACCCCCGGACUGCUCUGGAGACUGUACGGCUGGAGUGCAGGAGAGGUGAGUGGAAUUCCUAGUGUAGCGGUGAAAUGCGUAGAUAUUAGGAGGAACACCAGUGGCGAAGGCGGCUUACUGGACUGUAACUGACGUUGAGGCUCGAAAGCGUGGGGAGCAAACAGGAUUAGAUACCCCUGUAGUC
RNAcentral lists this ribosomal RNA (440 nucleotides) under uncultured bacterium. RNAcentral's name for it is "partial 16S ribosomal RNA". It matches the Rfam family "Bacterial small subunit ribosomal RNA", at positions 338 to 795 of the family's 1533-position model. The record is from RNAcentral.